GUCCCGUGCUCAACCUGUCCCGACCUGGUUUUCCUCCAACCGGCGAACCAGCCAAACCCUAGAACGAACCGACCGAGCAGGCCAUCGCCACCCCCACGGACUCGCCGCAGCCGCUGCAGCUGCAGCUGUCGCGCCGCAUGGCCGAGUACGAGGAGCGCUACGAGGGCAACGCCGCCGCCGCCGUCACCGGAGGCUCCCCGCCGACCAAGCCCUCCGGUUUCUCCGACCAACCCGACGGUCGCUCCCAGCAGGAGGUACAGUCACAUGAGGGAAGCUCCUCAAAAUCUAGAGAGAGGGACAGAGGACGAGAGAAGGACAAGGACACGGAGCGUGAUAGAGAACAUGGAAGAGAUAGAGAAAGGGGCCGUGAUAAGGACAGGGAGAGGGACCGGGGUGACCGGGACCGGGAACGCGACCGCCACCAUAGGGAGCACCGUGAAAGAAGUGAAAAAAGGGAGCACCGUGAAAGAAGUGAGAAAAGGGAGCACCGUGGCCAUUCUGAUGACCAUGAUCGUCAUCGCAGCCGUGACCAUGAUAUUGAAAGAAGAGACCGUGACAGAGAUGGCCAUCGCAGGCAUCGCUCCCGCUCCCGUUCUAAGGGUCGUGAACGCAGAUCCAGAUCUCGUUCGCGUUCUCGUUCAAAGAGCAAGCGGGUGAGCGGAUUUGACCAGGGACCAUCGCAAGCCAUUCCUAUGGUUACUCCUGGCGCGACCCCAGGUCAGCUGCCCGCAGUUACCCCUCUUAUUACUGGGAUGCUUCCAAACAUGUUUAAUUUCACUGCUCCUACGCAGUUCAAUCCUCUAGUUAUGCAACCACAGGCCAUGACACAACAGGCUACCCGGCAUGCUAGGCGUGUUUAUGUUGGUGGACUUCCACCAACUGCCAAUGAGCAGACAGUUGCUAUAUACUUCAAUCAAGUUAUGGCUGCUAUUGGAGGAAACACAGCUGGUCCUGGUGAUGCUGUUCUUAAUGUAUACAUAAACCAUGACAAGAAAUUUGCUUUUGUGGAGAUGAGGUCUGUGGAGGAAGCAAGCAAUGCAAUGGCCUUAGAUGGUAUAAUGUUUGAGGGAGCACCGGUCAAAGUUAGAAGGCCAACAGACUAUAAUCCUUCCCUGGCUGCUGCACUGGGUCCAAGCCAGCCAAACCCUAAUCUAAAUCUUGGUGCUGUUGGCUUGACACCUGGCUCAGCUGGAGGUUUAGAAGGCCCUGAUCGCAUCUUUGUGGGUGGCCUCCCGUACUACUUCACCGAGGCUCAAGUGCGGGAGUUGCUUGAAUCCUUUGGACCGUUGCGAGGAUUUGAUCUUGUGAAGGAUAGGGAGACAGGCAACUCGAAAGGAUAUGCCUUCUGUGUAUACCAGGAUCUUAAUGUCACCGACAUUGCCUGUGCUGCCCUGAAUGGUAUCAAGAUGGGAGACAAGACCCUCACUGUUAGGCGAGCAAAUCAAGGCACUUCUCAACCAAGGCCAGAGCAAGAAACCAUCCUGUUGCACGCACAACAACAAGUGCAGAUGCAGAAACUCGUGCUACAAGUUGGAGGGGCUCUACCGACAAAGGUAGUAUGCCUGACCCAGGUGGUUUCAGCAGAUGAACUGAGAGAUGAUGAGGAAUACGAGGAUAUUUUGGAAGACAUGAGGGAAGAAGGGCGCAAAUAUGUCCACAUAAAUGCCAUUGCAGAGUCUUUUAUAGUCCAACCCCAUGCAAUAUUGGCAAUCGGGCUUAACCUACAGAAGACACACUAUUCUUUUCCAAUUGGAUAUGAUUGAUCAUAUAUCAUGUAUUUCUUGUUUAUGUAUGUACUCACUAACACUUGGACAGGUAACUUGGUUAAAGCUGUCAUCCCACGACCUGACCCCAGCGGCGCUGCUGUUCCUGGAGUUGGAAAGGUGUUUCUGGAAUAUGCAGAUAUCGACGGCUCGACCAAGGCGAAGGUCGGGAUGCAUGGCAGGAAGUUUGGCGGGAACCAGGUGGUGGCCGUGUUCUAUCCUGAAAACAAGUUUGCUGAUGGAGAUUACGAUGAUUAGAUGAAGUCCUCUGCUCAGUUCACACCCAUAUCAUGCUUUUGCUUAGUUUUCAAAUUGAAUCCUUUUUUAAUCUGUUUGUGGAACCGUCUGCUCGAUAUAUGGUAUAAUUUUAUUUGUCAAGUACAUGUACCGCUGCUGCCCUUGCCUACAAGUACUGUAUCCAAACUUGAUCAGUGCUGGUAUCUUCCCCUUACUGCAUGCGGGAAAGGAUAUAUAAUGACUUAUAUUAUGCUACUUCCUCUGGUCACUUUUGUAAGACCUUUUAGACAUUUAAGACAACACCUAAAGCAGUUCAAUUUCAGCUGUCUUAAAUGCCAUACAAAAGUGAACAGAGGGAGCAUUAAAGGAUUGUAAGCAUGUUUUUCGGCGCUGCUAUACGUACGACACAUUUGUAUCGGAUGCCUGUAUGAUCAUACGUGGCAGUGCUGCGAGCGUGCGCGGGCAGGAGGCAACGGAGAGGACCAUCCACCGAAAUCCGCAGCCCAAGACCAACCCAUAGCCCAAAAGCCAUCUCUUCUCGUCCACUCUCUCGCGCGCGCGACCGACGCGGUGGCCGCUGCAACACCCCACCGACGGCCGGACCUGCACAUGGAUUUGUGGCUCUCCACAACUCCAACAAACAUCGCCUUUCUAUCUCUUUCAUUGUCUUCAGCUGCAGUUAUUGGUGCAGCAGUCCGCGAGCACGCCGUCGUCGUCUUGGCCGCCGCUGCCGCCAUCGACGCCGCGCCUCUCAUCAAUCACUUGUCUUCCUGUCAUGCUGAUCUAAGGUUGGAGAGAGUUGUCGUGAUCUUCUGUAACUUGGAUUGCUAAUCUAGUGGCGAGAAAUUGACUUGUAAAUACUCCCUCCGUUCCGAUUUACUCGUCGUGGUUUUAGUUCAAAUUUGAACUAAAACCACGACGAAUAAAUCGGAACGGAGGGAGUACAAGAACCGGCUGUUCCUCUCUGUCGGCUACAUGUGAGCUGGUUGUGAAGGCAUCGGCAUGUGAAGUUACUUGUACUCUCAAAGUGCGCAUAUGUGAAAGGAAUGACACUAUGACAACUAUUUCUUUCAGAUUUGUUUCAA
This is an RNA transcript of Triticum aestivum (bread wheat), 3085 nucleotides long. It is a transcript of the gene named splicing factor U2af large subunit A, with no coding region annotated. NCBI's taxonomy places the organism in Eukaryota, Viridiplantae, Streptophyta, Magnoliopsida, Poales, Poaceae. The record is from RefSeq and is a predicted model, not a curated record. The transcript has 11 exons.